UGACCCUUUGUCUCCUUAGCUAGAGUCU
RNAcentral lists this non-coding RNA (28 nucleotides) under Mus musculus (house mouse). Lineage: Eukaryota; Metazoa; Chordata; Mammalia; Rodentia; Muridae. The record is from RNAcentral.